Molecule: unclassified non-coding RNA, 197 nt
Filed under: plant metagenome
Description: partial contains small subunit ribosomal RNA, internal transcribed spacer 1, and 5.8S ribosomal RNA
Source: RNAcentral
UCUCCGUAGGUGAACCAGCGGAGGGGUCAUUACCGAGUGCAAACUCAUAACCCUUUGUGAACCUAUAUCUGUUGCUUCGGCGGCUCGCUCUCGGGCGAGCCCGCCGGUAAUAUCAGUAUCUCUGUUUGAACCCGACGAUACUUCUGAGUGUUCUUAGCGAACAGUUAAAACUUUUAACAACGGAUCUCUUGGCUCUA